UACAGAGGGCUCAAGCGUUGUUCGGAUUCAUUGGGCGUAAAGGGUGCGUAGGCGGCGCGGUAAGUCGGGUGUGAAAUCUCGGAGCUUAACUCCGAAACUGCAUUCGAUACUGCCGUGCUUGAGGACUGGAGAGGAGACUGGAAUUUACGGUGUAGCGGUGAAAUGCGCAGAUAUCAGGAGGAACACCGGUGGCGAAGGCGGUUCUCUGGGCCUUACCUGACGCUGAGGAGCGAAAGCGUGGGGAGCAAACAGG
This 253-nucleotide ribosomal RNA is filed under the name uncultured bacterium. RNAcentral describes it as "partial 16S ribosomal RNA". It matches the Rfam family "Bacterial small subunit ribosomal RNA", at positions 524 to 776 of the family's 1533-position model. The record is from RNAcentral.